Carassius auratus (goldfish) is the source of this 558-nucleotide long non-coding RNA. RefSeq lists it as uncharacterized. The record is from RefSeq and is a predicted model, not a curated record. The transcript has 3 exons. NCBI's taxonomy places the organism in Eukaryota, Metazoa, Chordata, Actinopteri, Cypriniformes, Cyprinidae.
GUCUACACCAUAAGAAAAACAAGUGUCACUCUUCUCAUGGCCCUCCUCCAGAGGGAUAAACAGAAGAGAUAUUCGGCUCUCCUGAUGCCUUGGUAACACACUGGACCAAUACUGUUGUACCUGAACAACUACACAACAUCUAUUUAAAUAUUAAACUGUACAUUGUCUAUUACCGACUUACCUCAAGCUUAAGUUAAAACAGCAUACAACACAUUAAAAGUACAGCUCUCCACUUGUGGGACAAUAAUAUUUCACUAUUUUGUAAAAUGUUAACCAUUUAUGGCUCUAUGACAAACUUGCACUGUGCUCCAGUCCUGGUUUAGGUGGGUUUUAACUGUCUGGUGGCCGUCGUCUUAUGAAAAAUUACUACAUACAGUUUAAUUCUACAGUGAGUUGGUCUUGUAUGUGCACUUUAUUAUAUGCCAUGACUGGAGGAAGCAUGUGAAUGACUAAGAGUGCAACAGAAAUCAUCAUUCAUACUCUAUACGCACAAAUAUAUUGAGUCUUAUGGUAAUUUUCUGUAUGUCACUGCCUGGUUUAUAACAUUUCAUUCUCAUG